Molecule: ribosomal RNA, 596 nt
Filed under: Peptostreptococcaceae bacterium canine oral taxon 258
Lineage: Bacteria; Bacillati; Bacillota; Clostridia; Peptostreptococcales; Peptostreptococcaceae
Description: bacterial SSU rRNA
Rfam family: Bacterial small subunit ribosomal RNA
Source: RNAcentral
GAGUUUGAUUCUGGCUCAGGAUGAACGCUGGCGGCGUGCUUAACACAUGCAAGUCGAACGGACCUGAUUUUUAGCACAAAUUGCUUAUGCCGAUCAGCAUGGGCGGAUGUGGACCCGGUGUCCAUAAGAAAGAACAUCCGUCUACGCGUUCCAAAGUGUGAUAACACAUGCGAAUGUGACAACACAUGCGAAAUGGAGAAAGUAAUGAGUGAUUUGUGCUGAAAAUCAGGUUAGUGGCGGACGGGUGCGUAACACGUGGGUAACCUGCCCUGCUUUUCGGAAUAACGCCGGGAAACCGUCGCUAAUGCCGAAUAAUAUGAGAAGAAGGCAUCCUUUUCUCAUCAAAGAAUCUCGAAGCAGGAUGGGCCCGCGCCGGAUUAGCUGGUUGGUGAGGUAACGGCUCACCAAGGCGACGAUCCGUAGCCGACCUGAGAGGGUGAUCGGCCACACUGGAACUGAGACACGGUCCAGACUCCUACGGGAGGCAGCAGUGGGGAAUAUUGCACAAUGGGCGAAAGCCUGAUGCAGCAACGCCGCGUGAGCGAUGAAGGCUUUCGAGUCGUAAAGCUCUGUCGCAGGGGAAGACAAAGACGGUA